AAUGGGACAAUGUUGUAUCACUG
Molecule: non-coding RNA, 23 nt
Filed under: Cricetulus griseus (Chinese hamster)
Lineage: Eukaryota; Metazoa; Chordata; Mammalia; Rodentia; Cricetidae
Source: RNAcentral